This 253-nucleotide ribosomal RNA is filed under the name uncultured bacterium. RNAcentral describes it as "partial 16S ribosomal RNA". It matches the Rfam family "Bacterial small subunit ribosomal RNA", at positions 524 to 776 of the family's 1533-position model. The record is from RNAcentral.
UACGAAGGGGGCUAGCGUUGCUCGGAAUCACUGGGCGUAAAGCGCACGUAGGCGGAUUGUUAAGUCAGGGGUGAAAUCCUGGAGCUCAACUCCAGAACUGCCUUUGAUACUGAGGAUCUCGAGUCCGGGAGAGGUGAGUGGAACUCCGAGUGUAGAGGUGAAAUUCGUAGAUAUUCGGAAGAACACCAGUGGCGAAGGCGGCUCACUGGCCCGGUACUGACGCUGAGGUGCGAAAGCGUGGGGAGCAAACAGG